RNAcentral lists this ribosomal RNA (368 nucleotides) under uncultured organism. RNAcentral's name for it is "bacterial SSU rRNA". It matches the Rfam family "Bacterial small subunit ribosomal RNA", at positions 526 to 896 of the family's 1533-position model. The record is from RNAcentral.
CGGAGGGUGCAAGCGUUAUCCGGAUUCACUGGGUUUAAAGGGUGCGUAGGUGGGUCUGUAAGUCAGUGGUGAAAUCUCCAAGCUUAACUUGGAAACUGCCGUUGAUACUAUAGAUCUUGAAUGUUGUGGAGGUGAGCGGAAUAUGUCAUGUAGCGGUGAAAUGCUUAGAUAUGACAUAGAACACCAAUUGCGAAGGCAGCUCACUACACAAAGAUUGACACUGAGGCACGAAAGCGUGGGGAUCAAACAGGAUUAGAUACCCUGGUAGUCCACGCCCUAAACUAUGGAUACUCGACAUACGCGAUACACUGUGUGUGUCUGAGCGAAAGCAUUAAGUAUCCCACCUGGGAAGUACGACCGCAAGGUUG